Molecule: non-coding RNA, 863 nt
Organism: Pelodiscus sinensis (Chinese soft-shelled turtle)
Lineage: Eukaryota; Metazoa; Chordata; Testudines; Trionychidae
Source: RefSeq, a predicted model, not a curated record
UUUGUGAUCUGAAAGUGAAGUGUCUUGGGCUGUAGCAAUACUGAGACAUGCUGUUCUUACAGGUCCAUGCUACUCAUAAUCCUGUAUUACUAAUAUGGAUCCUGAUGACAAGGGAAAGCACAUCUUGGUUUGCAGGAACUUUUUAACUGGAAAAGAGAAACAUUUCUGAACCAGCUCCAUCUGCCAACCAGACUCCAGCUCCUCUGUAUCCCAUCUUCAUCAUUAGAUUUAAAGGAGUCUUUGUCUGCCCUAUGGUUGAUUUGCUGUUGCACAUAGACAACUGUGGAACUCUGCCUAAUUUAUACCAUUGAAGCAUCAGACACACUGCCAUUGGGAGUUGCAAACCAAUGCAGCUGAUAUUCGGUGCAAAAACUCCUUGAUCCACAAAUGGGAGCUCUGCUAGGAGAGCUAAAUGGUAAUAUCUCCCCAUUGCUUCACAUACAUCAUCCAGUUAUCAACUUUUCAGGCCUGCAUGUGAUUCUCCCUGAAUUAUCAAUGAAUGCACUCUCUGUGCCAACCUGUGUCCAGGUCACCGGAAUGGAUUAACCAGUUAGCAACAUGUCAAUCCCCUCUGUGGCUGGACUUGCUCAAGGUACAGUCUGUGAGUUACCAGGGAUGAGCCAGGCAGCAUCUUCAUCAGGUUUUAUAUUGUUCAACAAAAUUUAAGAGGGAUGCCAACUGAAUGCUACACGUGUAUGGAAUGAACAUAGAACAAUGAAGCAAAUGAAGUACAACACAAUGUCACCAAGAAAGCAAGCUAUGGAAUUUGAAGAUCUUCUGUUGAUUGGAAGAGAAUGAAUAUGUACUCAAAUAGUUUUCGGUCCUUAGCAAUUAUACAGUUUUGUGGGGCUGGGGUGCAGCCA